CGGUAAUACGUAGGGCGCAAGCGUUGUCCGGAAUUAUUGGGCGUAAAGAGCUCGUAGGCGGCUUGUCACGUCGGAUGUGAAAGCCCGGGGCUUAACCCCGGGUCUGCAUUCGAUACGGGCAGGCUAGAGUGUGGUAGGGGAGAUCGGAAUUCCUGGUGUAGCGGUGAAAUGCGCAGAUAUCAGGAGGAACACCGGUGGCGAAGGCGGAUCUCUGGGCCAUUACUGACGCUGAGGAGCGAAAGCGUGGGGAGCGAACAGGAUUAGAUACCCUGGUAGUCCACGCCGUAAACGUUGGGAACUAGGUGUUGGCGACAUUCCACGUCGUCGGUGCCGCAGCUAACGCAUUAAGUUCCCCGCCUGGGGAGUACGGCCGCAAGGCUAAAACUCAAAGGAAUUGACGGGGGCCCGCACAAGCAGCGGAGCAUGUGGCUUAAUUCGACGCAACGCGAAGAACCUUACCAAGGCUUGACAUAUACCGGAAACACCUAGAGAUAGGUGCCCCCUUGUGGUCGGUAUACAGGUGGUGCAUGGCUGUCGUCAGCUCGUGUCG
This 550-nucleotide ribosomal RNA is filed under the name Streptomyces hypolithicus. RNAcentral describes it as "bacterial SSU rRNA". It matches the Rfam family "Bacterial small subunit ribosomal RNA", at positions 518 to 1067 of the family's 1533-position model. Lineage: Bacteria; Bacillati; Actinomycetota; Actinomycetes; Kitasatosporales; Streptomycetaceae. The record is from RNAcentral.